Molecule: ribosomal RNA, 504 nt
Filed under: uncultured bacterium
Lineage: Bacteria
Description: bacterial SSU rRNA
Rfam family: Bacterial small subunit ribosomal RNA
Source: RNAcentral
UGAGUAAUGUCUGGGAAACUGCCCGAUGGAGGGGGAUAACUACUGGAAACGGUAGCUAAUACCGCAUAACGUCUUCGGACCAAAGUGGGGGACCUUCGGGCCUCACACCAUCGGAUGUGCCCAGAUGGGAUUAGCUAGUAGGUGGGGUAAUGGCUCACCUAGGCGACGAUCCCUAGCUGGUCUGAGAGGAUGACCAGCCACACUGGAACUGAGACACGGUCCAGACUCCUACGGGAGGCAGCAGUGGGGAAUAUUGCACAAUGGGCGCAAGCCUGAUGCAGCCAUGCCGCGUGUAUGAAGAAGGCCUUCGGGUUGUAAAGUACUUUCAGCGGGGAGGAAGGCGGUGAGGUUAAUAACCUUACCGAUUGACGUUACCCGCAGAAGAAGCACCGGCUAACUCCGUGCCAGCAGCCGCGGUAAUACGGAGGGUGCAAGCGUUAAUCGGAAUUACUGGGCGUAAAGCGCACGCAGGCGGUCUGUCAAGUCGGAUGUGAAAUCCCCGGG